Long non-coding RNA from Setaria italica (foxtail millet), 505 nucleotides. RefSeq lists it as uncharacterized. The record is from RefSeq and is a predicted model, not a curated record. The transcript is spliced from 3 exons. Lineage: Eukaryota; Viridiplantae; Streptophyta; Magnoliopsida; Poales; Poaceae.
GGGGGAUUAGGUUGGUUGCCGCCGCCACAGACGAGCCCCUUUUGUGCAUGAGCGUUGGCAAUCUCUCCAGGCAGAAUGGAUGAAAGUGAUAGUCCGAGGAGUUUCUUCGUCAAACAAGAAGGAUAAUACUUGUGUGCAAGAUUCAAAGCUGUGAUGAUGACGGUGCCAGCACGCACUCUGUGCCUAGCAAUGUUAAAGAAUGGGCGGUAUGUUUGAUGCUAUCCUCUCUCUUCUUUUGUUGCUGGGAUAUAUGUGAAUAAGUUAUGUGGAUAAACUUUUGACAUGCCAAUAAGUUGUGUCACGCAGAUUAUUUUGUGCCAAUAAGUUAGGCAAAAAGAGUGCAUCUUCUAAGUAAUGCACAUAAAUUAAUAGUCAUGCCAAUAAUUCUCAUAAGUAGUAGUGUGUAUAAGUUGUCUAGAAUGAGUUAAUUAUGCACAAAGAUUUUGUGUCAAAUAAGUUGCAUGUAUAAGUUUUUCUAUAAUGUUUUGGUUCUGGGUACAACUUA